Long non-coding RNA from Pistacia vera, 122 nucleotides. RefSeq lists it as uncharacterized. The transcript has 3 exons. NCBI's taxonomy places the organism in Eukaryota, Viridiplantae, Streptophyta, Magnoliopsida, Sapindales, Anacardiaceae. The record is from RefSeq and is a predicted model, not a curated record.
AAGAGAUCGAGAGCCAAAUUGAAUUGUUGGUAAAUGAGUGAGGUUGAAUCUUAACAGCUUGUCAGGUUCACUUUCUCCAUCUAUCGGCAAUCUAACUGCAUUAAUAAACCUGGACUUCGGCG